Molecule: unclassified non-coding RNA, 334 nt
Filed under: uncultured Glomeraceae
Lineage: Eukaryota; Fungi; Glomeromycota; Glomeromycetes; Glomerales; Glomeraceae
Description: sequence contains 18S rRNA gene
Source: RNAcentral
CCCAACUAUCCCUAUUAAUCAUUACGUCAAUCCUAGAAACCAACAAAAUAGGAUCGAACGUCCUAUUUCAUUAUUCCAUGCUAAUGUAUUCAAGCGUUAGCCUACUUUAAACACUCUAAUUUUUUCAAAGUAACAGUCCUGUUUCCCUGCAACACCAAAUUAAUGGCAUUACAGUUCUUCAGAAAGGAGGAACCAGCAAAGCCAGUGCAUACCAGUGGCACGACCAACCUGCUGAUCCCGAAAUUCAACUACGAGCUUUUUAACUGCAACAACUUUAAUAUACGCUAUUGGAGCUGGAAUUACCGCGGCUGCUGGCACCAGACUUGCCCUCCAA